GAAGCGGGCCAGACGAUCGCGCGACCAGUCACUACGUGACAGGCGUGAGGAAAGUCCGGGCUCCAUAGGGCAGGAAGCUGGUUAACGGCCAGGCGGGGCGACCCGACGGAUUAGCGCCGCAGAAAAGAAGACUCCCGCUGCCCGCAUUCAUGCGGGUGAGAGAAAAGCUGAAACGGUGGUGUAAGAGACCACCAGCGUCGUGGCAACACGGCGGCUUGGCAAGCCCCUUCCGGAGCAAGCGCGAAUAGGAGCGCCAUGGGCCGGCCCGGCCCGCGCUCGGGUAGCGUGCGAGGAACUGCACGGCGACGUGCAGGCGAGAUAAAUGAUCGUCCACGACAGAACCCGGCUUAUCGGCCCGCCUUCGCCC
This 367-nucleotide RNase P RNA is filed under the name Collinsella stercoris. RNAcentral's name for it is "RNase P RNA component class A". It matches the Rfam family "Bacterial RNase P class A". From Rfam's summary of the family: Ribonuclease P (RNase P) is a ubiquitous endoribonuclease, found in archaea, bacteria and eukarya as well as chloroplasts and mitochondria. Its best characterised activity is the generation of mature 5'-ends of tRNAs by cleaving the 5'-leader elements of precursor-tRNAs. RNAcentral also lists the same sequence under 3 other names. Lineage: Bacteria; Bacillati; Actinomycetota; Coriobacteriia; Coriobacteriales; Coriobacteriaceae. The record is from RNAcentral.